CUGACGUUAGCGGCGGACGGGUGAGUAACACGUGGAUAACCUACCUAUAAGACUGGUAUAACUUCGGGAAACCGGAGCUAAUACCGGAUAAUAUAUUGAACCGCAUGGUUCAAUAGUGAAAGACGGUUUUGCUGUCACUUAUAGAUGGAUCCGCGCCGCAUUAGCUAGUUGGUAAGGUAACGGCUUACCAAGGCAACGAUGCGUAGCCGACCUGAGAGGGUGAUCGGCCACACUGGAACUGAGACACGGUCCAGACUCCUACGGGAGGCAGCAGUAGGGAAUCUUCCGCAAUGGGCGAAAGCUUGACGGAGCAACGCCGCGUGAGUGAUGAAGGUCUUCGGAUCGUAAAACUCUGUUAUUAGGGAAGAACAAAUGUGUAAGUAACUAUGCACGUCUUGACGGUACCUAAUCAGAAAGCCACGGCUAACUACGUGCCAGCAGCCGCGGUAAUACGUAGGUGGCAGGCGUUAUCCGGAAUUAUUGGGCGUAAAGCGCGCGUAGGCGGUUUUUUAAGUCUGAUGUGAAAGCCCACGGCUCAACCGUGGAGGGUCAUUGGAAACUGGAAAACUUGAGCGCAGAAGAGGAAAGUGGAAUUCCAUGUGUAGCGGUGAAAUGCGCAGAGAUAUGGAGGAACACCAGUGGCGAAGGCGACUUUCUGGUCUGUAACUGACGCUGAUGUGCGAAAGCGUGGGGAUCAAACAGGAUUAGAUACCCCUGGUAGUCCACGCCGUAAACGAUGAGUGCUAAGUGUUAGGGGGUUUCCGCCCCUUAGUGCUGCAGCUAACGCAUUAAGCACUCCGCCUGGGGAGUACGACCGCAAGG
Molecule: ribosomal RNA, 822 nt
Filed under: uncultured Staphylococcus sp.
Lineage: Bacteria; Bacillati; Bacillota; Bacilli; Caryophanales; Staphylococcaceae
Description: bacterial SSU rRNA
Rfam family: Bacterial small subunit ribosomal RNA
Source: RNAcentral